RNAcentral lists this ribosomal RNA (466 nucleotides) under uncultured Sphingobacteriales bacterium. RNAcentral describes it as "bacterial SSU rRNA". It matches the Rfam family "Bacterial small subunit ribosomal RNA", at positions 910 to 1382 of the family's 1533-position model. The record is from RNAcentral. Lineage: Bacteria; Pseudomonadati; Bacteroidota; Sphingobacteriia; Sphingobacteriales.
UUGACGGGGCCGCACAAGCGGUGGAGCAUGUGGUUAAUUCGAUGAUACGCGAGGAACCUUACCUGGGCUCAAAUGUAUGUUGACGUAUUCUGAAAGGGAUACUUCUUCGGACAAUAUACAAGGUGCUGCAUGGUUGUCGUCAGCUCGUGCCGUGAGGUGUCGGGUUAAGUCCCAUAACGAGCGCAACCCUACCUUUAGUUGCCAUCAGGUAAUGCUGGGGACUCUAAAGGAACUGCCUACGCAAGUAGUGAGGAAGGCGGGGAUGACGUCAAAUCAGCACGGCCCUUACGUCCAGGGCUACACACGUGCUACAAUGGCCGAUACAGAGGGCAGCUACCUGGUGACAGGAUGCAAAUCUCCAAAGUCGGUCUCAGUUCGGAUCGGAGUCUGCAACCCGACUCCGUGAAGUUGGAUUCGCUAGUAAUCGCGCAUCAGCCAUGGCGCGGUGAAUACGUUCCCGGGCCUU